RNAcentral lists this ribosomal RNA (494 nucleotides) under uncultured bacterium. Its description in RNAcentral is "partial 16S ribosomal RNA". It matches the Rfam family "Bacterial small subunit ribosomal RNA", at positions 28 to 507 of the family's 1533-position model. The record is from RNAcentral.
GACGAACGCUGGCGGCGCGCUUAACACAUGCAAGUCGAACGGAAAGGCCUGCUUUCCCUUGUGGAUUGCGGGUACUCGAGUGGCGAACGGGUGAGUAACACGUGAGUGAUCUGCCCCCAACUUGGGUAUAAGCCUGGGAAACUGGGUCUAAUUCCCGAUAGGACUGCAGGGUGGUGCCUGUGGUGGAAAACGAUUUUCUAGUGGUUGGGGAUGAGCUCGCGGCCUAUCAGCUUGUUGGUGGGGUAAUGGCCUACCAAGGCGGCGACGGGUAGCCGGCCUGAGAGGAUUGACGGUCACAUUGAGACUGGGAUACGACCCAGACUCCUACGGGAGGCGGCGGUGAGGAAUAUUGGACAAUGGGCGGAAGCCUGAUGCAGCGACGCCGCGUGGAAGAUGACGGCCUUCGGGUUGUAAACACCUUUCGACGGCGGGGAAGCCACCUGGUUGGAAGUGUGUUGACGGUAGUGGUAGAAGAAGCACCGGCUAACUACGUG